Molecule: long non-coding RNA, 1476 nt
Filed under: Scleropages formosus (Asian bonytongue)
Lineage: Eukaryota; Metazoa; Chordata; Actinopteri; Osteoglossiformes; Osteoglossidae
Description: lncRNA (ENSSFOG00015026100.1)
Source: RNAcentral
AUGACUGGAAAGCGCCGAAGUGCUUUGGGCGCAGGCAGAGGUCGGAGGAAGAGGUCUGCAAUUACACGGGAAGAGAAGUUAGGCAUUAUUCAGAAGUGGGAAGGCGGCCAGAAGUUGUCUGCCAUCGCUCGUGAGGUGAGACACCCACCGGUGUCCACGGUGAGCACCAUGAGGGGCAAACGCCUCAGCACGAAGCGCUCGGCACUCAAAUCCCCCGUGCCCGUCACGACGAUGCAGAGGCAGGGCGCGAUCUCGGAGAUGGAGACGCUGCUCACCGAUUGGAUCGAGGAUAUGAGUCGCCAGGGGCGCAUCCAGCAGGAGAAGAGCCUCUCGCUCUGCGAGGAAUUCGAGGAGAAGACGCCGGAGGCCAUCGCCGAGGGCUCCUUCGGCGCGAGCCGCGGCGGGCUGCGCCGCCACCAGAAGCGCGCCAACGUGCGGCAGGCGGCGCCGAGCGCGCUGGAGCUCAAGGAGGAGCAGCUGGACUCGGAGGUCCCCGAGGACAUCCAGGUGACCAUAGGCGAGGACGAAGGGGAAGCGCUGCCCGGUGUCGGAGAGCUCGCCGGGCUCGAGGCGCUCGUGGCGGCGGGGCGGCGCGCGGAGCCGCGCUUUACGGCGGAGGGACUCGCCGAGGCUUUCCGGCUCGUGGACGCAUCUCUGUCCAAGAUCGAGUCCAUGGACCCCAACGUGGAGAGGUUCGUGGACUUCAGCCGCCGCAUCUACGCCGACCUGUCCGCGUACAGGCGCAUCCAGAAGGAGAAGAAGCUGGAGUCGACGCAGUGCACGCUCGACACGUUCAUUCGGAAGCUGAGCGAAGCGCGCGCACGGGAGCCGGCGCAGGCUCAGCCCUCGGCGUCCGCGUCCAGGUGGCUGGAGAUGCUUGCGGACAAAGAGCUGGGCUGCACAAACCACCUUCUCCAGUGACUUCUAUCUGGUGAGUUUUUCCAGGCCAUUCAUUUCACUGAAUUGUUAGUUUACAUUUAUUUAGCAGACACUUAUUCUCCAAAAUGACUUCCAGUGAACUCUAUGUAGUGUUACCAGCCCACAUACCUUAUUCACCAAGGUGACUUACACUGCUAGAUACACUACUUACAAUGUGCACUCAUCUGUACAUCAGUGGAACUCACUCUCACACUGGGGGAACCUGCACAGCAUGUGUUUGGAGUAUGGGAGGAAACCCAUGCAGACACGGGGAGAAUGUGCAAAAUCCACACAGACUGAGCGGGGAUCAAACCCAUGUCCCCUCGCACUACCUAGGCGCUGUGAGACAGCAGCACUGCUCGUUGUGCUACCAGCCUCAUUAGGGGCGAGUGGUACCUUAGUAGGAGAAACGCAGCGUUGCUCCUCACAGCUCCUGAGUGCUGCUUUUAGGUCUGGGGUUUUAUUUCUGCUUAGUCUGUGCGCACACUGCAUAUUCGCAUGGCAUCCAUGUGGGACACACACACACCCCCCCCCCCCCCCAGCGAUACCUGAUUUCCA